GAUUCAAGUGAUGAGAUUGGAUCUAAAAUUCUCACGACGGUCGUCUGAUUCUAAUGAUGCACCGAUCCUUAUACUCUGAAGAUA
Molecule: non-coding RNA, 84 nt
Organism: Brassica rapa (field mustard)
Lineage: Eukaryota; Viridiplantae; Streptophyta; Magnoliopsida; Brassicales; Brassicaceae
Source: Rfam